GCGUCUCUGUAUAUGUUACCGAGAUCUCUGAAUUCUAAUAUUGUGUGGGAUUUAAAUCUGGUUACUGUUAUCAUUCAGGGUGCUGGGGGAAACAAAAUACCUUUUUUUCUUGCUUAGAAAUACCCCUCCCUUUCAAGCACCUGAAUAUCAUUAAGCUAAUUGAGCAUCUGCUACUAUAUAGGUCAGCACAUGGUACUGGAAAGCACUUGAAGACAAUUUAUGUUGAAGUUCACUGGAGACAACCGGUAGGACAUGGUACUGGAAAGCACUUGAAGAAAAUCGAUGUUUAAUCAAUGCUAGAGAUCACUGAAGAUAACCGAUAGCAUUCGGUACUGGGGAACACUCGUAUAAAUCAAUGUUAUUUGAUGCUGGAGAUCACUGGAGAUAACCAAUCGGUACUGGUGAAUACUUGAAGACACUGGAGAACACUAGAAGAUAAUCGAUGGUAGCUUGUCAUUGGUGGAGGGAAUCAGCUGACACACACCAGGAAUCCCAUUGGAGGACAGUCCAGUCAGCUGACAAAACAACAUGGCUGCUGGGAACUUCAUGUUGACACAAUGAACAGAGAGACCAGAUGCUGUAUACUGGAUCCUGCCGAUUAGGAAUUCCUACACAGGUGGCUUAAUCAAGAGUGAGUAACACAGACUGCAGUUUGUAACACAAACACAUGCUGUAGCUUGGAAGCUGAAGUCUGCAUGAAGCUUUGCACAUCCUAAAACCCCUGCAAAACAGGAGAAGCAAAUUGAUCUGCACACAAGGAAAAUACACCAAACCAGUGGAAACCAUCCAUCUGACAUGCGCAUAAGCUAAAGGGGGAAUGCCCCACUUCCGCCUGAAAAAACAGGAAGUUUUUCGGAAGCGGCCACUAUCAAUAUCCCACCAGAAACAUAGAAAUAUAUAGAAAUCAAGUUUUAAUCAAUAACCUGCACACCUGGACUUAUAGAGCCACAAACAGGGCUCACACACUGCAGCAUGGCUUUUCUAAUAAACAUAUAACAUCUGGCUGCGGCACACGAACUUCCGGUCAGACUUCAUCGUGACCACGCCCACUUUCGGUCCCAGUUACACGAGGAGGAGAUUGCCAGCACUAGAAGUAUUUGGAGCAGCAAUGCACACAGCUUUGAGGAAGACCUUGAAAAGUGUCAGCUUACUGUGCAUACUGCCAUAUAAUCUAAGGACUGAGAAACACCUACCUGUGGUAGUGCCUGGGAAAGUUUUAUUGCACAAUCUUUUGUUUUAUGCAAUUUUCGAUUGUAAAACAGCUGCCAGUGUUUAGUGUACCACCCCAUGUAAUUCUCUCUUGAUGAAUACUUGCCAGUAUUCCCAUCCUAAAUCACAUGUUAAUGCUAAUUAUAUUUGUAUAUACAGUCUUUUUAUGUUACUGUUCUAAUUUAUUUUUACUUAAAAUAAAUAGUGUUUUAUUGCAAUUUGCUCACUGUUUUAAACCAUAAGCGCUGAGGGUCAUAAGCCAUAAUUCCUAUCGCCAGAUAUCCGAAAAGUGUGUGAUUGAUACACCCAAGUUUUUUGGUCCUAGCUUGGUCUGCACCAGAAAGUGGCAUACAUCCAUUAACUUAGUGUCAAUCACUGACCAUCCUAUGCCGUUCCUGCAUCCUGUGUCGCAGAAUCCAUUUGUGCAUGCACACAUCCGUACUUUGUGCAUCAGGGCGCAAGUAGAACUGGACCUGAAUAAGGUCCAAUGUACAUAAAAGGUUUUAGCAGUAUGUUACAUGGGGACGUCAACACAGCCUUCUAAGAGUCACUUUAAGAACUGCAAGUAUUUCCCCUAAACUCCACAGAGGUCUCACUUUUAUUCCCAGGGUUGGCACUUAAGUGGCAUCUCCUACCACGUCCUGGAACACUAUGGUGCAGCCUGAAAGGUAAAUCAGAUGCGGUCUCUCACUGACCAAUGAAUUGUUUCUUACAGAGAGACAGGUUUUCACUUUUCUUUUUAUAGAGUACAUUUUUUCCAGUAAGAAGUAUUGCCAUAAUCAAUGCGGGAGAUAAGAAGAGCAUGGAUUAGAUUUUUUGCAGUGUAUUGUGUAAGGUAUGGUCAUAUUUUGGAUAUGUUUUUAGAUGCAUGUAGCAAAAAAACAAUA
Pseudophryne corroboree (corroboree frog) is the source of this 2096-nucleotide long non-coding RNA. RefSeq lists it as uncharacterized. The transcript has 3 exons. The record is from RefSeq and is a predicted model, not a curated record. Lineage: Eukaryota; Metazoa; Chordata; Amphibia; Anura; Myobatrachidae.